AGCCGGUGCAUUUAUUCAUGUCUAUCACACUAUAUGAAGUAGUUCGUCCCAUAUACUUGCAUCACAGGUCGUCACUAAGCUGCAGUCACAGCAAUCUUCAUCCCCGCCUGGCAGUGCCCCGCGAAGUUGCAGAUGAAGUAGUUCGUCCCCUUACGCAGCCUGAUGCGGUCGUUCCCGGUCUUGGACACCCUCGACCCCCUCGGCGUCGUGCACCUACUGUAGCCGGCGGCGUUCACCGCC
Molecule: long non-coding RNA, 240 nt
Filed under: Musa acuminata (dwarf banana)
Lineage: Eukaryota; Viridiplantae; Streptophyta; Magnoliopsida; Zingiberales; Musaceae
Description: long non-coding RNA (MACU_LNC004763)
Source: RNAcentral